ACGAACGCUGGCGGCAUGCCUAACACAUGCAAGUCGUACGAAGGCUUCGGCCUUAGUGGCGCACGGGUGAGUAACACGUGGGAACCUGCCUUUCGGUUCGGGAUAACGUCUGGAAACGGACGCUAACACCGGAUACGCCCUUAGGGGGAAAGUUUACGCCGAGAGAGGGGCCCGCGUCCGAUUAGGUAGUUGGUGGGGUAACGGCCCACCAAGCCGACGAUCGGUAGCUGGUCUGAGAGGAUGAUCAGCCACACUGGGACUGAGACACGGCCCAGACUCCUACGGGAGGCAGCAGUGGGGAAUAUUGGACAAUGGGCGCAAGCCUGAUCCAGCAAUGCCGCGUGAGUGAUGAAGGCCUUAGGGUUGUAAAGCUCUUUCGCACGCGACGAUGAUGACGGUAGCGUGAGAAGAAGCCCCGGCUAACUUCGU
Molecule: ribosomal RNA, 429 nt
Filed under: uncultured bacterium
Lineage: Bacteria
Description: bacterial SSU rRNA
Rfam family: Bacterial small subunit ribosomal RNA
Source: RNAcentral